Molecule: ribosomal RNA, 1495 nt
Filed under: uncultured bacterium
Lineage: Bacteria
Description: 16S ribosomal RNA
Rfam family: Bacterial small subunit ribosomal RNA
Source: RNAcentral
UAGAGUUUGAUCAUGGCUCAGGAUGAACGCUAGCGGCAGGCUUAACACAUGCAAGUCGAGGGGCAUCGGGAGGAAAGCUUGCUUUCCUUGCCGGCGACCGGCGCACGGGUGAGUAACACGUAUGCAACCUGCCCUCUUCAGGGGGACAACCUUCCGAAAGGGAGGCUAAUCCCGCGUAUAUCGGUUUCGGGCAUCCGAGAUCGAGGAAAGAUUCAUCGGAAGAGGAUGGGCAUGCGGCGCAUUAGCUUGACGGCGGGGUAACGGCCCACCGUGGCGACGAUGCGUAGGGGUUCUGAGAGGAAGGUCCCCCACACUGGUACUGAGACACGGACCAGACUCCUACGGGAGGCAGCAGUGAGGAAUAUUGGUCAAUGGGAGAGAUCCUGAACCAGCCAAGCCGCGUGAGGGAAGACGGCCCUAUGGGUUGUAAACCUCUUUUGUCGGAGAACAAAACCCGGGACGUGUCCCGGACUGCGUGUAUCCGAAGAAAAAGCAUCGGCUAACUCCGUGCCAGCAGCCGCGGUAAUACGGAGGAUGCGAGCGUUAUCCGGAUUUAUUGGGUUUAAAGGGUGCGUAGGCGGUCCGUUAAGUCAGCGGUAAAAUUGCGGGGCUCAACCCCGUCGAGCCGUUGAAACUGGCAGACUUGAGUUGGCGAGAAGUACGCGGAAUGCGCGGUGUAGCGGUGAAAUGCAUAGAUAUCGCGCAGAACUCCGAUUGCGAAGGCAGCGUACCGGCGCCAGACUGACGCUGAGGCACGAAAGCGUGGGGAUCGAACAGGAUUAGAUACCCUGGUAGUCCACGCAGUAAACGAUGAAUGCUGGUUGUCCGGGUCGAAUGAGAUCUGGGCGGCGAAGCGAAAGCGAUAAGCAUUCCACCUGGGGAGUACGCCGGCAACGGUGAAACUCAAAGGAAUUGACGGGGGCCCGCACAAGCGGAGGAACAUGUGGUUUAAUUCGAUGAUACGCGAGGAACCUUACCCGGGCUCAAACGGGAGUGGAAUGGACCAGAGACGGUUCAGCCUACGGGCCGCUUCCGAGGUGCUGCAUGGUUGUCGUCAGCUCGUGCCGUGAGGUGUCGGCUUAAGUGCCAUAACGAGCGCAACCCCCGCCGGCAGUUGCUAACGGGCAAUGCCGAGGACUCUGCCGGGACUGCCGCCGCAAGGCGAGAGGAAGGCGGGGAUGACGUCAAAUCAGCACGGCCCUUACGUCCGGGGCGACACACGUGUUACAAUGGGCGGUACAGCGGGAAGCCAGGCGGCGACGCCGAGCGGAACCCGAAAGCCGUUCUCAGUUCGGAUCGGAGUCUGCAACCCGACUCCGUGAAGCUGGAUUCGCUAGUAAUCGCGCAUCAGCCAUGGCGCGGUGAAUACGUUCCCGGGCCUUGUACACACCGCCCGUCAAGCCAUGGGAGCCGGGGGUGCUUGAAGUGCGUCGCCGCGAGGCGCGCCCUAGAGCAAAACCGGUGACUGGGGCUAAGUCGUAACAAGGUAACCGUA